AUGUAUGUCAUAUCCCUAAAAUUCAUCUGUUCAGUACUCUUAAUCAUAAACUUCAAAAAAAAUCCAGUGAUAACAUUGGUUAUCUCCGCUGUUAAAAUUGUUUGAGGGUCAUCAAGCAACUCAUGCUCUGCGAUAUAUAUCUUGAAAAGGGGAGAUAAGAAGAAGAUAGAAUGGAGGAAAGAUCAGAUCCGUUUCAAAACAUUUGAUUACAAUGCAUUUUAGAAGCAAGGUCUGGGAAUCUUCUACGACGGCUGACGUUAUCUCCAGAGAUAGCUUGGUGGGUUUGAUCUCAAGCUCUGUAUUGUAAUAUGUUUCUUCUUUGGCGUUGAAUCGAAGAACAGAGGUCGGAGAAUGGUGGCUCUAUCGUGAAUCAGGUUGCUAUCUAUAAAAGCUGCCUAUACAGAAGAUAUGCACACCUUACGCAUGGUUGCUGGAGCUAUUGCUGAUCUUUGUGGCAGGAUGAGUCGAGCUUCUUCUUACAGCGUUUGAGGAAUGAUUGCUGCAGAUGUUUCUGAUUAAGUUCUCCGUCAAGUUGAUAAAUUGGUCAUGAAUAAUAAGCAUGCUGCUGCACGUGAGAAUUUUUCAGUCAAUGUAAUAAUUUUAAUUCUUUCUUUCGACCCUAUGCUCCUAUGCUUAUACAUCAGCUUUGAUGUCUAUACAUAAGCUUUGAUCACUGUUACCAGUACCGA
Brassica oleracea var. oleracea is the source of this 689-nucleotide long non-coding RNA. RefSeq lists it as uncharacterized. The record is from RefSeq and is a predicted model, not a curated record. The transcript has 3 exons. Lineage: Eukaryota; Viridiplantae; Streptophyta; Magnoliopsida; Brassicales; Brassicaceae.